CCCUUAGAUGUUCUGGGCCGCACGCGCGCUACACUGAUGAAUGCAACGAGCUCUACCCUUGACCGAAAGGCCCGGGUAAACUUGUGAAACUUCAUCGUGAUGGGGAUAGAUUAUUGCAAUUAUUAAUCUUCAACGAGGAAUUCCUAGUAAGCGCGAGUCAUCAGCUCGCGUUGAUUACGUCCCUGCCCUUUGUACACACCGCCCGUCGCUCCUACCGAUUGAAUGGUCCGGUGAAAUCUUCGGAUUGCUGACCAAGAUCCAGCAAUGGAGCUUGGUUGCGAGAAGUUGAUUAAACCUUAUUAUUUAGAGGAAGGAGAAGUCGUGACA
This 327-nucleotide ribosomal RNA is filed under the name uncultured eukaryote. RNAcentral describes it as "partial 18S ribosomal RNA". It matches the Rfam family "Eukaryotic small subunit ribosomal RNA", at positions 1470 to 1796 of the family's 1831-position model. The record is from RNAcentral.